GUCUUCUAUGUUCCAGGCCAUGUCCUUGGCACUGGGAAUGGAGAAAAACCCUGUCCCUCAAGGAGCUCACAGUCUAGUGGGGGCAAAAGACACAUAAAUAUAUAAAUAUAAUGCAGAAUAUGCAAAAGGGACCACUAUGGGAGGCAAAGGACAGAGGCCUCCAAUUCUAUGGUUAAUGUCCACAGGAAAGGAAGACCUGGCAUUUUUUGUGAGGAACACAUAAGGCAAUGGUUUUCAAAGUGUGGCUGGUGAAUCACCUGCAGCUGAAUCAUCUGAAGCACAUCUUAAAAUGCAGAUUCCCAGCAUUUCCUGCAAAGAUUGAUGCAGUAGGCUGAAGUUUGGGACUUGGGAAUCUGCAUUCUGAAGUGUUCAAGUUCUUUGCCAGAUCUUGCUAGACUCAGAGGUACAACAAAAAAGACACAGCUCAGAAAAUAAUGGAAGUCCAACCCCAUUUAAAGAACUUGGGGACAGGCCC
Molossus molossus (Pallas's mastiff bat) is the source of this 475-nucleotide long non-coding RNA. RefSeq lists it as uncharacterized. Lineage: Eukaryota; Metazoa; Chordata; Mammalia; Chiroptera; Molossidae. The transcript is spliced from 3 exons. The record is from RefSeq and is a predicted model, not a curated record.